This 253-nucleotide ribosomal RNA is filed under the name uncultured bacterium. Its description in RNAcentral is "partial 16S ribosomal RNA". It matches the Rfam family "Bacterial small subunit ribosomal RNA", at positions 524 to 776 of the family's 1533-position model. The record is from RNAcentral.
UACGUAGGGGGCAAGCGUUGUCCGGAUUCAUUGGGCGUAAAGCGCGCGCAGGCGGCUUGGAGAGCCCGGCGUGAAAGCUCCCAGCUUAACUGGGAGAGGUCGUCGGGGACCUCCGGGCUGGAGGCCGGUAGGGGUGAGCGGAAUUCCCGGUGUAGUGGUGGAAUGCGUAGAUAUCGGGAGGAACACCAGUGGCGAAGGCGGCUUCCUGGCCUGUUCUUGACGCUGAGGCGCGAAAGCUAGGGGAGCAAACGGG